This 474-nucleotide ribosomal RNA is filed under the name Omias rotundatus. RNAcentral's name for it is "partial 16S ribosomal RNA". Lineage: Eukaryota; Metazoa; Arthropoda; Insecta; Coleoptera; Curculionidae. The record is from RNAcentral.
CUUUUGAUAAUAAUUUAAGGUUUAACCUGCCCAAUGAGAGUUUAAAUGGCCGCGGUAUUUUGACCGUGCAAAGGUAGCAUAAUCAAUAGUUUUUUAAUUAAAAGCUGGAAUGAAAGGUUGGAUGAGAAAAUUACUGUCUCUAUUUAAAUUUUAUAAAAUUUUAUUUUUAAGUUAAAAAGCUUAAAUGUUUUUAGAAGACGAGAAGACCCUAUAGAGUUUUAUUUAUUUAUUAAAUAAAAUUUUUAGUAUUUAAAAUUUUAUUUAGUAAAUAAAUUUGAUUGGGGUGAUUAAAAAAUUUGAUUAACUUUUUUUUUAUUUGUACAUUAAUUUAUGAUUAUUUGAUCCUUUAUUUUAAGAUUAAAAGUUUUAAUUACCUUAGGGAUAACAGCGUAAUUUUUUUAGAGAGUUCUUAUCGAAAGAAAAGAUUGCGACCUCGAUGUUGGAUUAAAAUUAAAAUUUGGUGUAGAAGCUAAA